AUUGAACGCUGGCGGCAGGCCUAACACAUGCAAGUCGAGCGGAGCGGCGGACGGGUGAGGAAUGCCCAGGAAUCUGCCUGGUAGUGGGGGAUAACGUCCGGAAACGGGCGCUAAUACCGCAUACUAUCAGAUGAGGCUAGGCCGGAUUAGCUAGUUGGUGGGGUAAAGGCCUACCAAGGCGACGAUCCGUAACUGGUCUGAGAGGAUGAUCAGUCACACUGGAACUGAGACACGGUCCAGACUCCUACGGGGGGCAGCAGUGGGGACUAUUGGACGAUGGACGAAAGCCUGAUCCAGCCAUGCCGCGUGUGUGAAGAAGGUCUUCGGGUUGUAAGGCACUUUGAGUUGGAAGACGUUACCAGCAGAAAAAGCACCGGCUAACUUCGUGCCAGCCGCCGCGGUAAUAC
RNAcentral lists this ribosomal RNA (407 nucleotides) under uncultured bacterium. RNAcentral describes it as "partial 16S ribosomal RNA". It matches the Rfam family "Bacterial small subunit ribosomal RNA", at positions 30 to 526 of the family's 1533-position model. The record is from RNAcentral.